Molecule: RNA transcript, 1953 nt
Organism: Physcomitrium patens
Lineage: Eukaryota; Viridiplantae; Streptophyta; Bryopsida; Funariales; Funariaceae
Gene name: glycosyltransferase BC10
Source: RefSeq, a predicted model, not a curated record
UUGCAACGGAUGAGAUUGGUCUCAGUCACUGACACCAGGUGUUUGUGGUGCCCUUGUCCUUAGUCCCUGCUUUCCGAUUCAUUGCUCGUGUCGGCACCGCAGACGAGGAGAAGCUACGGGGAGGUUGUAUUCACUGGUGACCUGGGUUUGGCGAUUUAUGUUUGCUGGGUUGGAGAGAGUGAUGCUGAAGCAACAAGUGAGGGAAAGAGGGAAGAAGAGGAGUAGGAAGCAAUUGGAAGUGCGGUGUCUCGAAAGGAGAUGAGGUUGGAUCGGUGUAGUUGGUGCGUUUGGAACGUUGAGUUGGGAGAAGGCGAUACAGUGACCUGUAAAUUAAAAUGAAGCAACGAUUUGCGUCCAGGGACAGGUUAGGUAGCACUCUGAGCUAAUGCAUUCAGAGUCAUGAAGAAAAGACCGUAUGGAUACUCUCGUCGGAGAUGGAGAUCUGGAGUGUGCAUGUUAUUAGGUCUACCUCUCAUUAUCGUAGCGUUGGUGAAGCUUCAAGGCUUGGUGCAGCGCGAUGUAAUGGAAUCCCCUCCAAUUAGGGACCCUUUGAAACCAAAGCUAGCAUUCCUUUUUUUGGCUCGGCAUGUCAUGCCUUUGGAUAUUCUAUGGGAGCAUUUCUUUGAGAGAUCUCGAGAUCACGAAUUCAAUAUAUACAUUCAUGCAAGACCUGGAUUUUCUUACACCGAAGAAAAUACUCAGUGCAGCUCGUUUAUCAAUCGUCAGCUGAAUAACUCUAUCCAGGUAGUAUGGGGAGAGGCGACCAUGAUACAGGCAGAGCGACUGUUGAUAGCAGAAGCUUUAAAGAACCCCUUGAACGAGCGCUUCUUCCUUCUCUCUGACAGCUGCAUACCACUUUACAAUUUUGACUACGUCUACAAUUAUGUGAUGGCGUCUCAAAAAAGCUUUGUGGACAGUUUUGUUGAUUACUCCGACGAGCAGUACAACAUCAACAUGGAGUCGGUUAUCCCACAUGAGAAUUGGCGUAAAGGAUCUCAGUGGUUUGUUUUGACUCGAAAGCAUGCUGAAGCUGUAGUAGCAGAUUCCACGGUGUUUCAAAUGUUUAACCAGCAUUGCAAGAAAGUGGUUCUACCAGACAAUUGGGUGGAUGAUCCUUCGCUAAACGCGACAAAGAAGCCUCACAACUGUAUACCCGACGAGCAUUAUAUUCAGACUCUUUUUGCGCACAACGAUUUUCUUGCCAAGUACGUACGUGAAGUAUGAUUGUUGGAGGAAAAAUUUCUGGGUUUAGAUGGAAGGUUUGGAAGCGGAAACAGAACGGCGUACGUUAACUUUCAGCAAAUGGGAGAAUCAUGUGAAAGACGUGGGCCGAGAAGGAUGGCAUCCUGUUACUUACAAUUUUCAAGAUUCUACCCUUGAGGCCAUUAGAAGUAUUCAGGCUUUACGUAGCAUCCGGUACGAAACCGAGUCACGAACAGAGUGGUGCAAAGCAGGAGGCGAAGACAAGCCUUGCUUUCUGUUUGCUAGAAAGUUUACACGGGCUGCUGGAUUUCGCCUUCUGGACCUAGUUUCUAGCUAUGAAAAAGGACUAGCAUCCUGAGCGCUUCAGGCUGCACACAAGUGCGUCCAAACUUGUGUCGUAGCUUCCUAAUUCAAACGCUAUUUAGGAUGGGGCCCAGUUGGAAGAUGUGCAACCUUGGGACAGUGAACUCUUCUUUUCCACUCAAUACCUUCACAGGAACAAGGUGCUUCAUUCCCUGAUGUUGGUUGCCUAUCUUAUAGACAGAACCUUGUGGCUUUGAACAUCCUGCACAGCUUCAGGAUCUGUAGCUGCUUGGACUUGACAAUUUUGUGCAGGAAUGGUUCAUUCAUGUCUGAUACAGCGUACACCUUUUUGGGUAUCUGAUCAACUUUGGGUGCACUGCAGCCAUUCAUGUAUCUGCUUUGGCAAGGAAAAUGAAAUGCAUACAAGAUUUUCAUCUUCUAUUGUAA